CCUACGGGUGGCUGCAGUGGGGAAUAUUGGACAAUGGGGGGAACCCUGAUCCAGCCAUGCCGCGUGUGUGAAGAAGGCCCUCGGGUUGUAAAGCACUUUCAGUGAGGAAGAACGCCUGGUGGUUAAUACCCAUCAGGAAAGACAUCACUCACAGAAGAAGCACCGGCUAACUCCGUGCCAGCAGCCGCGGUAAUACGGAGGGUGCGAGCGUUAAUCGGAAUUACUGGGCGUAAAGCGCGCGUAGGUGGCUUGAUAAGCCGGUUGUGAAAGCCCCGGGCUCAACCUGGGAACGGCAUCCGGAACUGUCAAGCUAGAGUGCAGGAGAGGAAGGUAGAAUUCCCGGUGUAGCGGUGAAAUGCGUAGAGCUCGGGAGGAAUACCAGUGGCGAAGGCGGCCUUCUGGACUGACACUGACACUGAGGUGCGAAAGCGUGGGUAGCAAACAGGAUUAGAUACCCUUGUAGUC
RNAcentral lists this ribosomal RNA (465 nucleotides) under Vreelandella stevensii. RNAcentral describes it as "partial 16S ribosomal RNA". It matches the Rfam family "Bacterial small subunit ribosomal RNA", at positions 338 to 795 of the family's 1533-position model. The record is from RNAcentral. Lineage: Bacteria; Pseudomonadati; Pseudomonadota; Gammaproteobacteria; Oceanospirillales; Halomonadaceae.